Onychostoma macrolepis is the source of this 993-nucleotide long non-coding RNA. RefSeq lists it as uncharacterized. The transcript is spliced from 4 exons. The record is from RefSeq and is a predicted model, not a curated record. Lineage: Eukaryota; Metazoa; Chordata; Actinopteri; Cypriniformes; Cyprinidae.
UCUGCUCAGACAUUCCACGACCAACAAACGGCGAUUAAGCAUGUUGAGUCGGGUGAAAACAAACGCCAACAGGGGUAACACACUGAUCCAACAGACUAGUUUGUUGGCGUUUGUCUGUGCGGUGUGAACUGGCCUUAAGGCUUCUGCGAGCGUGUAUGGCGUCUGGCUUCAGAACCUCACUGUGACUUCAGAUAAGAACAAAGAUUAAAUUGUAAGAAGGGUUGCUUAUAAAAGCAUACAGUACAUCUGAAACUGCUGAGACUGGUAAGGUUUUUGACUAUAUUUCCGACCAGGUACAUUGUUCUGUCAUUCUUAAAUAGAAAACAAAUCAUCAAUCAUCAAUCAUGAUUUGCCUUUUUCGUGUGUGUGCGUGUAAGAAAUAUUAACAUUUGUUGUUUUAUUAGAUCAGCUGCUAUAGAAGACAAAAUGAAAUCUGAGUGCAGAGACAAGCAAAGGAAUACUGCAAGACACUACUGACUAGGCUGUGCCCAGGUCUCCGGAACCUGCGAUGACGCUCCGCUCCAUUGGCCCUUAGUCUGCGGCUUCGGAUCCACCAGCUCUGUCUCCAUCGGUCGGCCCCCAGAUGUCGGCAGCCACACCAUCUACAUCUUGGCUCCUCCCUCCCUUUGAACUUUAUCAUCUUCAGUCUUUGUUCUAUUCACGUUACAUGUUUUUUUUUUUUCUUCAGAAAAUUGCAUUGUAAUUUUUAUUUAUUCAUUGAUGUAAAAUUCUUUACUUUUCAGUAAUACGGGUAUAACUGAAAUGUUCUACAAAUGGAUAAGAUAGCUCUUCCAUAGCAUUUCAGUCUUUUUUUCAUUUAUGUUUUUUGUAUAAUGUUUUAAAAUAUACUUGAGUAUGUUUGUAGUAAUACAAAAAUACUAUAAACAUACUUGUAUUUCAAGUGCAUUUUUAAUACAUUUAAUAGUAUGUUUUUUUUUUGUUUUUCACCGAAAUAUAUAUGCUGCUGUACUUUUUUAAAGUACUUCAUGAAUA